AGUUCCUAUGAUUCUGUAUUUAAAUUGAUCUAUCUUAAUUUCCUUUAUCUAAAUUCCUUAGAUUCAAAGUCAGAAGACCUGGCUUUAAGCUUUGGUUCUGCCAUCCACUAGCUAUGUGACCUUCUGGCUCCUUUUCCUCUUCUAUAAUUUGAGAGAGCUGGCAUAGCUGGAGUAGAUAACAGUGAGGCAGGGAAACUGAAAAGGCUCCGUUUCUGCUGUUUUCCUGCUAGGCCCUAUUCACUCACAUUCUAUAUUUCACCUGGCAUCUGAGUAAAAACCAGAGAAGCUGCAUUCCCACUCCAAGGGGGAAGCAAGAGAGUUAAGCAUUCUCUGAAUUCCAUCCUUGGCCCCCAAACACCUGCCAAUGGCUAAGAAGAGCCGGGUACCAAACAUGUUCUAGAACAUUAGCUUCUAACAAACCUGAGUUGACGCAGGCAUCAACGUUCCUACCUUCAGCAGUUAACGAAAUAGCACCUAUAAUUCACUGGUCACUGACCUUUGGUCGGAUCCUAUCCUGGAUUCCUGAAGGAACACAUAUCCAGGACCCCUUUCCAAUGGAAACCCUUAACCCUCAGCAACCCCUAACUGCCCCCCCUCCAACUCUCUUUUCCUUUCCGAGUCUCCCAGACACACUGUCUGCUAUUCUCCGUCACUCAAGCUACUCAGUGAACUCCUUUCACUUCCCUCUUGCUCUUAUUUUACUUCUAUCCUGUGCAAAGCCAAGGAGCCUCUUGGCUGGGCCUGCGGGACCCCCUUCUGGAUCCUUGGACCCAGGAUCUCAGGCUCCUAACUGGGUGUGGAGCCCCCACACAGGCAAACCCACCACCCUAAGCUGAAGACCUGAGCUGAGAUCAAGCUUCAGAUGCUCAACCCACUGAGCCUCCCAGACGCCACUUGGAGUGUGUCAUUUAUCCACUGAAUCAUUUAAAACAAAUAUCACUUAUGGCUGUCUGGUGGGCAGUGUGAAGCCCUGAGGAAUCCGAAGGUAAAGUCAAUGGACACUUCCCAGAACCUGUAGCAUUUCUGUCCGAUCUUUCCUCAGUAAUUUUUUGUACAAGCAAAAGUGCUUGAAACUUCUCUCCAAUUACAGAAACAGUUCCACCUCUCUCUUCUGUAGUUUCUGCUCCUUGAAAGACCCUGUCGAGCCCCGUCCAGGACCACCUUAGGCUUGGACUGAUGCACUCUGGAGACUGUGGCAGAAGCUGGUGGUGGCCCAUAUCCCCCAGCCCCUCUGAGACCACCUGCAGCUGCCGUGGACGGUUCCCAACAUGCUGAUGGCAUCCCCCCCUCCACGUUCUCAAACCUAAUUCUUUAUCAUUCUCAAGUUUUCUGAAAUCAAUUAUUAACAAAG
Molecule: long non-coding RNA, 1351 nt
Organism: Lutra lutra (Eurasian river otter)
Lineage: Eukaryota; Metazoa; Chordata; Mammalia; Carnivora; Mustelidae
Exons: 2
Source: RefSeq, a predicted model, not a curated record